AUCUGCCUUGUGGUUCAGGACAACAUUGGGAAACCGAUGCUAAUACUGGAUAAGCCCUUACGGGGAAAGUUUUAAUGCCAUAAGAUGAGCCCGCAUUUGAUUAGUUAGUUGGUGAGGUAAUGGCUCACCAAGACAAUGAUCAAUAGCUGAUCUGAGAGGACGAUCAGCCACACUGGGACUGAGACACGGCCCAGACUCCUACGGGAGGCAGCAGUGGGGAAUCCUGCACAAUGGAGGAAACUCUGAUGCAGCGAUGCCGCGUGAGUGAAGAAGGCCUUUGGGUUGUAAAGCUCUUUUGUAGGGAAGAUAAUGACUGUACCCUAAGAAUAAGGUCCGGCUAACUUCGUGCCAGCAGCCGCGGUAAUACGAAGGGACCUAGCGUAGUUCGGAAUUACUGGGCGUAAAGCGCGCGUAGGCCGUUGAGUUAGUUAAUUGUGAAAUCCCAAAGCUUAACUUUGGAACUGCAAUUAAAACUGCUCGACUAGAGUUUGAUAGAGGAAAGCGGAAUACAUAGUGU
RNAcentral lists this ribosomal RNA (517 nucleotides) under uncultured Alphaproteobacteria bacterium. RNAcentral's name for it is "bacterial SSU rRNA". It matches the Rfam family "Bacterial small subunit ribosomal RNA", at positions 124 to 676 of the family's 1533-position model. The record is from RNAcentral. Lineage: Bacteria; Pseudomonadati; Pseudomonadota; Alphaproteobacteria.